RNAcentral lists this ribosomal RNA (853 nucleotides) under uncultured bacterium. RNAcentral's name for it is "bacterial SSU rRNA". It matches the Rfam family "Bacterial small subunit ribosomal RNA", at positions 56 to 902 of the family's 1533-position model. The record is from RNAcentral.
UGCAGUCGAGCGAGAAGUUUUUUCGGGGGUGGAAAGCGGCGCACGGGUGAGUAACAUGUGGGUAACCUAUUUUGCGGAUUGGAAUAACACCUUGAAAGAGGUGCUAAUAUCGAGUGUGUUUAUAAGAUCGCAUAGGUUCUUAUAAAGAAAGGUGGCGCAAGCUAUCGCCGUAAGAUGGGUUUGCACUUUAUUAGCUUGUUGGUAGGGUAAAGGCCUACCAAGGCUAUGAUGGAUAACUGGUCUGAGAGGAUGAACAGUCACACUGGAACUGAAACACGGUCCAGACUCCUACGGGAGGCAGCAGUAGGGAAUAUUGCGCAAUGGGCGAAAGCCUGACGCAGCUACGCCAUGUGGGUGAGGAAGGCCUUCGGGUCGUAAAGCCUUGUCGCUGGGGAAGAAAAGCUAAGUGGUAACGCAUUUAGCCUGACGGUACCCAGAAAGGAAGCACCGGCUAACUCUGUGCCAGCAGCCGCGGUAAUACAGAGGGUGCAAGCGUUGUUCGGAAUUACUGGGCGUAAAGCGUGCGUAGGUGGUAUUGAGAGUCAUAGGUGAAAUUCCCGAGCUCAACUCGGGAACUGCCUGUGAGACCUCAGUACUAGAGUACUAGAGGGGCUAGCGGAAUUCCAUGUGUAGCGGUGAAAUGCGUAGAUAUAUGGAAGAACUUCUGUGGCGAAGCGGUUAGCUGGAUAGAGACUGACACUGACGCACGAAAGCGUGGGGAGCAAACAGGAUUAGAUACCCUGGUAGUUUACGCCGUAAACGAUGCAUACAAGGCGUAGCUGGGAUUGACUCCGGCUGUGCGAAGCUAACGCAUGUAUAUGCCGCCUGGGAAGUACGGUCGCAGACUAAACUC